RNAcentral lists this transfer RNA (67 nucleotides) under Brachidontes exustus (scorched mussel). Its description in RNAcentral is "tRNA-Ser". The record is from RNAcentral. Lineage: Eukaryota; Metazoa; Mollusca; Bivalvia; Mytilida; Mytilidae.
UGAAACAGCAUAGUGCAUAGUAGGGCUGCUAACUUUAUUGUAAAAGUUUAAAUACUUUUUGUUUCAU